RNAcentral lists this ribosomal RNA (253 nucleotides) under uncultured bacterium. RNAcentral describes it as "partial 16S ribosomal RNA". It matches the Rfam family "Bacterial small subunit ribosomal RNA", at positions 524 to 776 of the family's 1533-position model. The record is from RNAcentral.
UACGGAGGGUGCAAGCGUUGUUCGGAUUUACUGGGCGUAAAGGGCGUGUAGGCGGUUAACUAAGUCAGAUGUGAAAUCCCUUAGCUUAACUAAGGAAGUGCAUUUGAAACUGGCUAACUGGAGUACAGGAGAGGAAAGUGGAAUUCCCAGUGUAGAGGUGAAAUUCAUAGAUAUUGGGAGGAACACCGGUAGCGAAGGCGGCUUUCUGGCCUGAUACUGACGCUGAGACGCGAAAGCGUGGGUAGCAAACAGG